RNAcentral lists this long non-coding RNA (407 nucleotides) under Capsicum annuum. Its description in RNAcentral is "long non-coding RNA (CANN_LNC004559)". Lineage: Eukaryota; Viridiplantae; Streptophyta; Magnoliopsida; Solanales; Solanaceae. The record is from RNAcentral.
UGAAUAACCAUGAAUAACAAUCUUCAUAUUUUUCAAAAAUUACAAAAAAAAAUCACCGUACUUGUUGAAUCUGUAAGAUAUAUAUAGAGUUUAAAUUAAGGGAUACAGGGGUAGAAUUGAACCUCAAAUAUCUCUUAAUUUAUAUUUCAACACCAAUUGAAAUGAAAGAUCUUUUUUUUAAUGGCGUGUUGUUGUUUGGUUGGCUUACCGGAGUUGUCAGAGUUAGUGAUGGAGGCGGUGGUCUUUUGCCAAUGAAAUUUUGUGAAAAAAUCAGAAUUGAGGGAGUUAAUCUGGUUGGGAAUGGAGGGAGUAUAUUGUUGUUGCUAAUUUUGGGUGCUAAUGGAGAAGUUUCUCCAUUCUCUUACCAUUGAUGUCAAUGGUGAAAAAGAGAAAAAUUUGUCUCCUUC